AUCGCUUCUCGGCUCCCUGAGCUACGAUUGUGGGCAGUAUUUGUUCUUUGUAGUGUAAUUUCUCCAACGGUCUACAAAAUGAGACCAAUGAAACUACCUGUAUUUUUCAUCUCCAAACGAGUGCUGUGAGCUUCUUCAACCCCUGUCCACGGGUCGGCCUCGUGUUGCAUUACCUCGAGGAUUGGUGUCCCAAAU
Schistosoma mansoni is the source of this 195-nucleotide small nuclear RNA. It matches the Rfam family "U2 spliceosomal RNA". From Rfam's summary of the family: U2 is a small nuclear RNA (snRNA) component of the spliceosome (involved in pre-mRNA splicing). The record is from Rfam. Lineage: Eukaryota; Metazoa; Platyhelminthes; Trematoda; Strigeidida; Schistosomatidae.